AGGGAAUGUGUCAAUGAAGUUUACCAGAAAUGGCAAAAGUGUGAAAACAACAUCAAACAUCAGAAAACAGAAGUACGAAAAGAACAGACAGUGGCUGUGAUGGACACUUGUGAAAAAUUAUCAGUAUGUUACGUCUUCGGAAACAUGAGAACAGUUUGGAAUUAAUCUAGACAUGUACAUUUAUUUUACUUUCUCAUCAUGAAUCACUUUGGAAAACACUAUCUAAUAUGAUUAAGCUUGUGGUUAAGGUUAGGGAUAAAUUUAGGGUUAGUGCUGGAAUACAAAAACUUGUGUUACUGCCAGGAGCGUCAUUCUAUUGAAUUCCAUCCACAAUCUGGCGCGUUUCAUAGGGACGCAGAAGGAUACCUUACUAUGAGACGCCUCGGGAUGUGACAAAUUGUCGGUAUGUUACACACUGGGAAUGAGAACCGACUCUCACACCCUGAUGCGAAACUGGAACCGAUGAGUCACGUAUUUGGACCUUUGCACUUUGUUUGUGCUGUUGGAGCAUUUUUGGAUAUUUAAUGAUGUCGUCUGAUUAAUAUUAAGGCUUACUGUGUAAUACAGACUAUCCAAAAAAAUACUGCUUCAGUGUUGAUAAGUGCAAUUUUAUUUUUUUAUUUUUUUAUAUUAUUCUAAUUAGAAGGUUUAUUUAAAACCUACAACCUCAAUCUUGAUGAAUAAAGCUUGCUAGACCCCAGACCUUGUGAGAUGGAUGAGCGAGUGGUGCAGAUUUCCAGGUUAUUAAUUAAGUUUCCUGGGUUUUGUUUUCUGUUUUUUACAAAUAGGUCAACACUUCAAGAGGAUUCAGAACUGAAUCAUGAAGUCCCAGGUUAAACCCUCUGAUUGCAGGCCAAGAAAAGUGAUGCUUCUUGGUCUGGAAGCACUCAGUCAUAGCAUGUUUACCAGCUUGGGCGAGGUCUUUUACUCUGCCCACCAAUGGUGACAGUUCUUGAGAUUAAGAUGACAGGACCUUUUGAGGUGAAUGUCGCACUAAAUGCUUCCAUUUGCCACAGAAUAUUUGUCUGUUUCUCCAUCUCCCUCCUUCUCUCAUCCAUUGCCCUUGCCUCUCCUGAGCACCGGCCUGUUCGCAUGGUAAUGUUACCAUUUACAUAAAUGAAUUCUACAUUUUUCCAUUUUAUAUGUGCAUAUAUGGCACUGAAAUAAGGACUUAAUG
Astatotilapia calliptera (eastern happy) is the source of this 1177-nucleotide long non-coding RNA. The record is from Ensembl. Lineage: Eukaryota; Metazoa; Chordata; Actinopteri; Cichliformes; Cichlidae.